GGAACCGUGCCCGAAUCGCCCAGGGACCACUUUGAUAGAGUGGCUUAUGGGGGUUAAAGUCCCCCCAGUUCCU
RNAcentral lists this transfer RNA (73 nucleotides) under Schistura scaturigina. RNAcentral describes it as "tRNA-Ile". It matches the Rfam family "tRNA". From Rfam's summary of the family: Transfer RNA (tRNA) molecules are approximately 80 nucleotides in length. Their secondary structure includes four short double-helical elements and three loops (D, anti-codon, and T loops). Lineage: Eukaryota; Metazoa; Chordata; Actinopteri; Cypriniformes; Nemacheilidae. The record is from RNAcentral.